AGCUAGCAGAUCUAAGAUUAUGGUUCUUGAGCAAUAGCUCACUACUCUGCUCGGUAGUCAAGAGGACAAAAAUCAACUCCGAGUACGUCUUAAAUUGACAUAUUGGUAUUACUAUUGCAAUACAAUAUUUGAAGAAUGAAAGGUGAAGAAAGUUUUCUCUAGUAACUUUAAUUCAGUGAGCUUAACAUUGCAUAACUCUAACCAAGACACAAUAUCAAAUAAGGCUAAGUUAUAGUCGGACACUAAUUUGAAAUCUUGCAACUUGAGAUGCUGCUAGUCAUACUGUGUUUGAGGGAGGAUAACAGUCUUUUUAUGAUCAUACCUUUCUCUCAACCUCGUCCACAGGAUCUCAAGGUCUUAGAUGGAUAAAUAGUGAGUCUUCAGGCUCUAAUGCAAAUGACGGUGAAGGAAAAUCAGUGCAUUCGCCUUAUCUUUGUCAUUUGCGUUAUCAUCUUUAAUAAUUGCAUGAACAAGACCUUCCCCUUGGAGAUAUAUCUCCACAUCAAGGUAUCCGGACAAAUAAUUGCUUCCACUCACUUCCAGGAUGUGGAACUUGGGCUUUUCAAUAUUGUCCAUGAUUCUGUGUACAGAAAUUGGACCCUAAAGUUAAUUAUGAAAGCUAUAUGGAUUCUUGGAGACCCACCACCGCUUCAGGGGGUGUAAGGAGGUUCAACAUCCGUUGUCGGCUUCAGAUUGGUUGGAUGGUAUACAAAAUUAAAAUCUAAUUGGUUGAAGAGUUAAAAAAAAAAUACCUUCUUAGUUGGUUAGAGUCCCGUGCCGAUAACCUGUUCUAAAAUAUGACUUUGAAAGAGAAUAUUAGAGAGAAGUAGUAAAAAUGUAAGAAGAUCUUUUAUUUCAUUCCUUGUUC
This 868-nucleotide long non-coding RNA is filed under the name Theobroma cacao (cacao). RNAcentral describes it as "long non-coding RNA (TCAC_LNC005249)". The record is from RNAcentral. Lineage: Eukaryota; Viridiplantae; Streptophyta; Magnoliopsida; Malvales; Malvaceae.